UGGCGGCAGGCCUAACACAUGCAAGUCGAGCGGUAGAGAGGUGCUUGCACCUCUUGAGAGCGGCGGACGGGUGAGUAAUGCCUAGGAAUCUGCCUGGUAGUGGGGGAUAACGCUCGGAAACGGACGCUAAUACCGCAUACGUCCUACGGGAGAAAGCAGGGGACCUUCGGGCCUUGCGCUAUCAGAUGAGCCUAGGUCGGAUUAGCUAGUUGGUGGGGUAAUGGCUCACCAAGGCGACGAUCCGUAACUGGUCUGAGAGGAUGAUCAGUCACACUGGAACUGAGACACGGUCCAGACUCCUACGGGAGGCAGCAGUGGGGAAUAUUGGACAAUGGGCGAAAGCCUGAUCCAGCCAUGCCGCGUGUGUGAAGAAGGUCUUCGGAUUGUAAAGCACUUUAAGUUGGGAGGAAGGGCAUUAACCUAAUACGUUAGUGUUUUGACGUUACCGACAGAAUAAGCACCGGCUAACUCUGUGCCAGCAGCCGCGGUAAUACAGAGGGUGCAAGCGUUAAUCGGAAUUACUGGGCGUAAAGCGCGCGUAGGUGGUUCGUUAAGUUGGAUGUGAAAUCCCCGGGCUCAACCUGGGAACUGCAUUCAAAACUGUCGAGCUAGAGUAUGGUAGAGGGUGGUGGAAUUUCCUGUGUAGCGGUGAAAUGCGUAGAUAUAGGAAGGAACACCAGUGGCGAAGGCGACCACCUGGACUGAUACUGACACUGAGGUGCGAAAGCGUGGGGAGCAAACAGGAUUAGAUACCCUGGUAGUCCACGCCGUAAACGAUGUCAACUAGCCGUUGGGAGCCUUGAGCUCUUAGUGGCGCACGUAACGCAUUAAGUUGACCGCCUGGGGAGUACGGCCGCAAGGUUAAAACUCAAAUGAAUUGACGGGGGCCCGCACAAGCGGUGGAGCAUGUGG
Molecule: ribosomal RNA, 912 nt
Filed under: Pseudomonas brassicacearum
Lineage: Bacteria; Pseudomonadati; Pseudomonadota; Gammaproteobacteria; Pseudomonadales; Pseudomonadaceae
Description: bacterial SSU rRNA
Rfam family: Bacterial small subunit ribosomal RNA
Source: RNAcentral